This 2450-nucleotide unclassified non-coding RNA is filed under the name Hevea brasiliensis (rubber tree). The record is from RNAcentral. Lineage: Eukaryota; Viridiplantae; Streptophyta; Magnoliopsida; Malpighiales; Euphorbiaceae.
UUUAACUCCUCAUUCAAAAAUCAAAACCCAUAGAUAAUAAUUCGAUCUUCUUCAAUUAGGGACGUUUUCUUCUUCAAUUCCUCCUCCAAUAAUUUAGCUUAGCAACCCGCUCCACCAAUCUGUAUUCACAAUGCCCCAAAACGAGAGUAUUCGCUUCACUUCAUCUUCGCUCAAAAUUCCUUCCCUUCCUCUACGACAGCUGCAAACACAGCCACCACCUCCCUUCCCUUUCCUUUCUCAUAUCUUCACCUCUCAAUUAGCUAAAACAGCAAUCUCUUUCACUAAUUUCAUCGACUCGCUCAUAACUCGUUCUAGAUUACACAUACCUCGCCCCCCCGAUUCCAAAACUCGGAGGUCUAACUUGUUUGCCAACUCACCUCUUAUGUGUUUAGCUUCAUUAUCACUCAAUCGGUCGACAGAUUUAGCUCCUUCCGAGUCACAUAUAAAGUCGCCGAUUCUCUGUUCGGCUUCAUUGUCGGUGAGUCAACCUGCUGAAACGGCGUUGCCCAGCUCAGAAGCCUUGGUGACGCAGCAGAAAGGGGGUGGCGGUGGCGGUGCUGGUGCUCACUCAGCUAGUCGACACGAUGAGGAGAGAGUUUUGAUAAGUGAAGUGUUGGUGAGGAACAAGGACGGCGAGGAGCUCGAGAGGAAGGACCUGGAAGCAGAGGCUUUGGCUGCAUUGAAAGCGUGCCGGGCCAAUUCGGCUCUCACGGUACGCGAGGUUCAGGAGGAUGUACAUAGGAUUAUUGAUAGCGGAUAUUUUUGCUCGUGUAUGCCUGUCGCAGUAGAUACUCGCGAUGGUAUAAGAUUGGUGUUUCAGGUAGAACCAAACCAGGAGUUCCAUGGGCUGGUAUGUGAAGGAGCCAGUGUUCUUCCAACAAAGUUUCUGGAGGAUGCUUUCCGAGGUGGAUAUGGAAAAGUGGUAAAUAUCAGGCAUUUGGAUGAUGUGAUAACUUCCAUCAAUGGCUGGUACAUGGAGCGUGGUCUUUUUGGAUUGGUUUCAGGAGUUGAGAUCCUUUCUGGGGGUAUUAUAAGGUUGCAAGUUGCAGAAGCUGAGGUGAACAACAUUUCCAUACGCUUCCUUGACAGGAAAACUGGCGAGCCAACUAAGGGGAAAACAAAACCUGAAACAAUACUUAGACAACUUACAACUAAGAAGGGACAGGUCUACAGUAUGCUUCAAGGAAAAAGAGAUGUAGAUACUGUGUUAACCAUGGGGAUCAUGGAAGAUGUUAGCAUCAUACCCCAACCUGCUGGAGACACUGGUAAAGUUGAUUUGGUAAUGAAUGUUGUCGAACGUCCGAGUGGAGGUUUCUCUGCUGGUGGAGGAAUAUCUAGUGGGAUUACAAGUGGCCCUCUAUCAGGACUCAUCGGAAGCUUCACCUAUUCUCAUAGGAAUGUUUUUGGAAGAAAUCAGAAACUUAAUAUUUCCUUGGAGAGAGGCCAAAUUGACUCGAUAUUUCGCAUAAACUACACAGACCCAUGGAUUCAAGGUGAUGACAAGCGAACAUCUAGAACUAUUAUGGUUCAGAAUUCGAGAACCCCAGGGAAUCUUGUCCAUGGUAACCAACCUGGUAAUAGUAGUCUUACCAUUGGCCGUGUAACUGCUGGUGUAGAAUUCAGUCGACCACUCAGGCCAAAGUGGAGUGGAACAGCUGGACUUAUUUUUCAGCAUGCUGGUGCUCGUGAUGAAAAAGGAAAUCCAAUCAUUAAGGACCACUAUAGCAGCCCUCUUACUGCAAGUGGCAAGACUCAUGAUGAUAUGCUGCUAGCUAAAUUUGAAAGUGUCUAUACUGGUUCUGGUGACCAUGGUUCUUCAAUGUUUGUAUUGAAUGUAGAACAAGGACUUCCUCUUUGGCCUGAAUGGCUGUUUUUUAACAGAGUAAAUGCACGUGCUAGAAAGGGCAUGGAAAUUGGUCCUGCUCUAUUUCUUCUAAGUUUGUCUGGUGGCCAUGUGGUGGGUAAUUUCUCUCCUCAUGAAGCAUUUGCCAUAGGCGGAACAAACAGUGUGAGAGGAUACGAAGAAGGUGCUGUAGGUUCUGGUCGAUCUUAUGUAGUUGGCUCUGGUGAAAUUUCUUUCCCUGUGUUGGGGCCAGUGGAGGGGGUUUUGUUUACUGACUAUGGAACUGAUCUGGGAUCUGGACCCACUGUGCCUGGUGAUCCUGCUGGGGCAAGGCUGAAGCCUGGAAGUGGAUACGGAUAUGGCUUUGGCAUCCGAGUGGACUCCCCUUUAGGCCCUUUGCGUCUCGAAUAUGCAUUUAAUGACAGGCAUGCAAAGAGGUUUCACUUUGGUGUUGGUCACCGAAAUUAAGGCCCUAUUGCAUCCCCUUAUUUUUAGUUGGGUAUAGUCCCCCCCCUUUUGUUCAAUUAACUCUAGUGGUUGUGUUGUCAAGAUCUGUGUUGCCAGUAAAAUGCUUUUGUUUUUAUGUGGUAAUUGUAUUGGUGCCGGC